AUACUCACCUGGCAGGGGAGAUACCAUGAUCAUGAAGGUGGUUUUUCCAGGAUGAGGCUUAUCCAUUGCACUCCAGAUGUUCUGACCCCUGUGAUUUCCCCAAAUGUGGGACACUCAACUGCAUAAUCUUUGGUUGUCAGGGACUGUGUUCAUGCUCUCCCCUGA
Small nuclear RNA from Prolemur simus (greater bamboo lemur), 165 nucleotides. Its record names the gene U1. It matches the Rfam family "U1 spliceosomal RNA". Rfam says of the family: U1 is a small nuclear RNA (snRNA) component of the spliceosome (involved in pre-mRNA splicing). Its 5' end forms complementary base pairs with the 5' splice junction, thus defining the 5' donor site of an intron. NCBI's taxonomy places the organism in Eukaryota, Metazoa, Chordata, Mammalia, Primates, Lemuridae. The record is from Ensembl.